Molecule: ribosomal RNA, 874 nt
Filed under: uncultured bacterium
Lineage: Bacteria
Description: bacterial SSU rRNA
Rfam family: Bacterial small subunit ribosomal RNA
Source: RNAcentral
AGAGUUUGAUCCUGGCUCAGAUCAAACGCUGCGGCGCGCUUAACACAUGCAAGUCGAACGAGAAAAGGGGAGCAAUCCCUGAGUAAAGUGGCGUACGGGUGAGUAACACGUGGGUAAUCUACCUCUGGGUGGGGAAUAACCCUGGGAAACCGGGGCUAAUACCGCAUAACACUGUAAGGUCAAAGGCGCAAGUCGCCUGGAGAGGAGCCCGCGGCUGAUUAGCUAGUUGGUGAGGUAAAGGCUCACCAAGGCAAUGAUCGGUAGCCGGCCUGAGAGGGCACACGGCCACACUGGCACUGAAACACGGGCCAGACUCCUACGGGAGGCAGCAGUGGGGAAUCUUGCACAAUGGGGGAAACCCUGAUGCAGCGACGCCGCGUGAGCGAUGAAGCCCUCGGGGUGUAAAGCUCUUUCGGCAGGGACGAUAAUGACGGUACCUGAAGAAGAAGCUGCGGCUAACUACGUGCCAGCAGCCGCGGUAAUACGUAGGCAGCGAGCGUUGUUCGGAGUUACUGGGCGUAAAGAGUGCGUAGGCGGUUUUCUAAGUUUGGUGUGAAAUCUCCCGGCUUAACUGGGAGGGUGCGCCGAAGACUGGAAGGCUUGAGUAUGGGAGAGGUAAGCGGAAUUCCUGGUGUAGCGGUGAAAUGCGUAGAUAUCAGGAGGAACACCUGCGGUGUAGACGGCUUACUGGACCAUAACUGACGCUGAGGCACGAAAGCGUGGGUAGCAAACAGGAUUAGAUACCCCGGUAGUCCACGCCCUAAACGAUGCAUACUUGGUGUGGGUAGUUCAUUCUAUCCGUGCCGGAGCUAACGCGUUAGGUAUGCCGCCUGGGGAGUACGGUCGCAAGGCUGAAACUCAAAUGAAUUGACGG